Molecule: ribosomal RNA, 727 nt
Filed under: Megophrys sp. 40 ZL-2018
Lineage: Eukaryota; Metazoa; Chordata; Amphibia; Anura; Megophryidae
Description: partial 12S rRNA'
Rfam family: Bacterial small subunit ribosomal RNA
Source: RNAcentral
CCAUAGAAAGAGGAGCCGGUAUCAGGCUCAAUAUGCCCAUGACACCUAGCCCAGCCACACCCCCAAGGGUAUUCAGCAGUGAUCAACAUUGUAAACUAGCGAAAGCUAAAUUCAGUUACCAGCUAAAAAAACCGGUCAAUCUCGUGCCAGCCACCGCGGUUAUACGGGCAGGUUUAAAUUGAUAACGUCGGCACAAAGCGUGGUUAGAUUUUCACUUCAAUAAAGCAAAAAAAAAGCCCGGCUGUGAUAUGCUUUCGCUUUUAAUAACCCCAAUCACGAAAGUAGCUUUACUCCAAUUGAACCCACGAUCGCUAGGGCACAAACUGGGAUUAGAUACCCCACUAUGCCUAGCCUUAAACUUUGAUCAUUCCGCCUGGGAACUACGAGCGUCAGCUAAAACCCAAAAGACUUGGCGGUGCCCUAUACCACCUAGAGGAGCCUGUUCUAUAAUCGAUAAUCCCCGAUUCACCUCACCAUCUCUUGCCAAUACCGCCUGUAUACCUCCGUCGCCAACUGACCCCCUAAGGGUUAUAGUCGGUUAAAUGGCUUUCCUCAGCAAGUCAGGUCAAGGUGCAGCGAAUGACAUGGGAAGCAAUGGGCUACAUUUUCUACUAAUAGACUAUACGAAAGAUCACUAUGAAAUCUGAUUGGAAGGUGGAUUUAGCAGUAAAAAGAGACUAGAGCGCUCUUUUUAAGUUGGCUCUAGGGCGCGUACACACCGCCCGUC